AUGUCGAUGAUGAGAUCAGUAAUUAAUAUUAACCAUCUUUCGGGACUGAAUGACUCUUUUGAGUCUUGCUGACUUACUGCUAUUCUGAGGCUC
Mercurialis annua (annual mercury) is the source of this 93-nucleotide small nucleolar RNA. RefSeq annotates it as small nucleolar RNA SNORD96 family. Lineage: Eukaryota; Viridiplantae; Streptophyta; Magnoliopsida; Malpighiales; Euphorbiaceae. The record is from RefSeq and is a predicted model, not a curated record. The transcript has a single exon.